Molecule: unclassified non-coding RNA, 3560 nt
Filed under: Anthonomus grandis grandis
Lineage: Eukaryota; Metazoa; Arthropoda; Insecta; Coleoptera; Curculionidae
Description: intraflagellar transport protein 56
Source: RNAcentral
AUGUUUUGAAUAUGAACGUUAAUUAAAAUAAUAUAAAGAAAAUAUCUAUUUUGACUGAAUUCAAUAAAUAAAUACUAAAUGUUUAGGCAAAAUUUAAUAUUCAAAUAUGAAAAAGAUUGUUGACUGAUAGCUCCCAUGUUAAAUGUUAAGAUUGACAGCUGUCAAACUCUAUGGGCGUUAAAUUUGAAAAAACAUUUCCCAGGAAAAAUUCAAUGGAUCAGUUUUCAUAGAUAAACUACGUUUUCAGAGUAAUUCCUUUAUAAUUUUGUUCACUAGCACUUAAUUAAUUUAAUUCCACCCAUUUACAAUUACAUUUAUUUUUAUUCCUGGUUGCCAUGGAAACUGAAACCACAGGUAAGGAACGCAAACAUUAAAACUAUAUCAUCAUCAAAAACCCCUAAUUUUGCACUUUAUAUCGAUAUGAUCUUAAGCCGUUCAAAACCAGCGAUUUCGGGCCACCCGGAUGGUCCCAAAAACCCCAAGAAACCUCAAACUGCCAAAGAGGAGGCCCAAUUCGAGGAGUUUCUCGUAAAACGCGAUUACACCGGCGCCAUCACCCUAUUAGAGUUUAAAAAAUAUCCGGAACAUAACCACAAUGCAAACUUAUGGAUGGCCUACUGUUACUUCCACCGAGGAGAUUAUAAGAAAUCUUUGGAAAUCUACGAGAGCCUUUAUAAGAAAAAGGUGGAAGUUAAGAAUUUGGCCGUUAACAUUGCUUGCUGUUUAUUUUAUUUAGGGAUGUACGAAGAAUCCCAAGAAAUCCUAAUGAAUGCUGCCCCAAAUGACUUAAAAACCCGUCUAAACUUCCACAUAUCCCACAAGUUAAAGGAUGAAUCUUCUUUAAUGGAAUACCAUCAAAAUCUACAGGAUGUUUUGGAAGAUCAGCUCAGUUUGGCCGCCAUACAUUAUUUAAGAGCCCAUUAUCAGGAGGCAAUUGAUAUUUAUAAAAGGCUUUUGCUGCAAAACAGAGAUAAUAUUGCCCUAAACGUUUAUGUCGCCUUAUGCUACUAUAAACUGGAUUAUUAUGACGUCUCGCAAGAAGUCCUAGGGCUCUAUUUGACCAGGUACCCUGACUCAGUCAUAGCUACAAACCUAAAGGCAUGCAACACAUUUAGGUUAUAUAAUGGGACGGCAGCUGAAAAUGAGCUUAGAUCCAUAGUAGAUCAGACGGCUAAUGUGGGUUUUGGUUAUGAUCUGGUUAGGCAUAACCUGGUUGUGUUUCGAGAUGGAGAAGAUGCCAUGCAAGUAUUUCCUGCCCUAGUGGACAUAGUUCCAGAAGCUCGCCUUAACUUAGUGAUCCACCAUUUGCGCAACGACGACAUAAAAGAAGCGUACGAGCUCCUGAAGGAUAUUCAGCCGGCUGUGCCCCAGGAGUACAUAUUAAAAGGAGUCGUGAAUGCAGCUUUGGGGCAAGAGAUUAAUUCCGCCGAACAUAUAAAAACCGCCGAGGAAUGUUUCCAUUUGGUGGGCAGUUCUUCGAGCGAGUGCGACACUAUUCAUGGAAGACAGUGUAUGGCCGCCGCAUUUUUUUUAGCCAAUCAGUUCGAAGAGGUUUUGGUUUAUUUGACCAGUAUUAAAAGUUAUUUGCAUUCAGACGACAUAUUCAACUUUAACUUUGCCCAAGCGAAAACCGCUUGCCGCCAGUACAAAGAAGCGGAAGAAACAUUCCAGCUGAUUCAGGACGUGAAAAUUAAAAGUGACUACUGUUACAUCUCCAACUUGUCCCGCUGCUACGUUAUGAAUAAGAAACCGCAAGAGGCCUGGGAUCUUUAUUUGAGGAUGGACAAUUCCCCGGAUAGUUUCAACCUUUUAAUCCAGAUCGCCAACGACUGUUAUAGGAUGGGGGAGUUUUUGUAUGCGGCCAAAGCGUUCGACACCCUGGACCGUCUCGAUCCGAAUCCGGAAUUUUGGGAGGGAAAACGAGGGGCUUGCGUGGGAGUAUUCCAGGCCGUCAUAGCCAAGAAACUCUCCGUGGACACGCUUUCUGAUAUCCUGCAAUUGCUCAGAACCAGCAACAACAGCCAGGCGGAUCAGAUCAUGAGGGGGAUCAGAAAGUGGGCCAAGGACCAACGAGUGAAUGUACCUUAAUAAGGCACCAUUUAGUGGAGGGACAUUUAAGUGGUGUCAUAAGGACUACAAAAGAAAAUCAGAGCGCACGCCCAUCACGCCACAAAUUCUUAAUCGAGCUAAGGAGCUGAUCCAAAAUGGUUUAUCCAAGCGCCAAGCUGCUUCGCAAUUAGAAAUUUCAGAAGGUGGCCUAACAAAGCGACUAAAAGCGGAUUGUGGGGUUCAGCAGUUAGGUCGAUUUAAAAAGCUCUCUCUGCAUUCACCAGGACCAACUUCUCUGUCUAAAAAUGACCGAAACAGUGGUGGGGGACGUAUGUGCAGACAUGUAGCACACUUUGUCAUGGAUCGUCUCUUUUAUGGGCCCAGUAUUCGGUCGGACCUGAUACCUCAGAGGACGUUAGUGGUCGCUUUUUUUACCUACUUGAUCAAGGACAAUGUAGAGAGCAAACAGGCGGUUUUGAUAGAAAAUCUACUGGAGACGAUUCUGGAUGUCCAGUUGGAGCGGAGCUGCUGGGUGCGGAAGAUCGGGGUUUGAGGAUUAGGGUAUGCCCUGGAGAAUUUGAAUAAGGAGCUCGUAGUGCGGUACUGCAAUCCGAUACUGGGCAUUUUAAUGAACUGUUUGGAUUAUCACAAUUUGGGGAACAAAAGCGAGCUGAUCCUGGAAUCCUUGCAAUCCUUCUCGAAACUCCUUUAAACAGCUUGCCAGGGCACAAAUUCCAUCCCUUUCAAGUUACCGCAGCAGUGAGGAUCAAGUUGCUAUUCAGUCAAUAGGAUCCACGUCUAAGGAGAUCCUCGAUCCAGUUAUUAGGAAAUCUGGCAACAUCCCUUGGCCAGGAGACCAAUUUGGAGGCAUUCAAGGAGCAGAUCCAAGGGAACCUCAUCACUUUAUUCUUGCAUCUAUGCGAUCCAGACGUGUAUGUUGUCAAGGCCUGUAAAAGUACGAUCCAGAAGGUCGGCCCUUAACUGGAUUGUCCGGAGGUAAACCGCAUGAUCCAGGAGUGUUUGGGCGACGACACCGACUUGAUCUUCACGGAUUUUAUUAAGGAGUUAAUUAAACGCAUGAACUAAACCCGGACGGACUGGAACUCUACUUGGAAUUCAUUCUAAAAAUGUGCUGCAAACAGAAACUUAACCCAAAAACGCCCCGUACAGCCCACAGGAGCUGCAGGACACUCACACCAUGCAGACAUAUGUUCUAGGACAAAUGGGAUUUUUUGGGCGCUACCUAUAAGACGUAAUCAGAAGUAACUCUACUAUAGUUCAGAAUAUUACAGAAAACUUUUUUAAGGAUUGCCUUGUGGCACCAUCUAUAAGAUAUACUUGAAACUAAUUGACUCUUUGGGAAUGUAGCGGUAAGAGGGCAAACGGGAUCUUUCCUAACGCCAUCUACCAGACAAGCUUGGAAAUUAUUGACUACUGCCGCCCUCUAUUAACACCCGUCCUAACAAAUACCACUCUAGAGACAUCUAUAUAAGUAAACGUGUACUAUUUUA